This 25-nucleotide non-coding RNA is filed under the name Gallus gallus (chicken). RNAcentral also lists the same sequence under 1 other name. The record is from RNAcentral. Lineage: Eukaryota; Metazoa; Chordata; Aves; Galliformes; Phasianidae.
AAGAGUUAAACUCUCUUAGUUUCUG